UAUGUUUUAAUACUCCUAAUAUUGUAGAAGAGGCUGGAAGCUCAACCACAGACCAACGGAAAAAAACGUCAGAACUCACAAGUCACAACAAACCUGAGUAAUCAUAGCCCCUCAUCCCACUUCUUUCCGUUCGGUGUUAGUCAUCAUCGAAACAAGUCCCAAUCACACUGAACCUUGAGAGAAAAUGGUGGUGGUGAUAGAGCAGCAAGAGAUCAAGGAUCGAAACGCCAAUCCCUCCAGGGUGGUUGCCCGUAACGACGCUUCCGACGGUUUUGAAACGGCCAGCGACACCGACCUUGGCAGUGACAACGGAGGGGAUGACGUCGGAGCUAGCAGCCAUGAUCAACCGCUCGAGCAACCGCAGCAGCAACAUCAACAGCAGCAGCUGAAGAUAGAGCAUUUGGAGGCGGAGCCGGAGCAGAGUGUUUCUCCAAGUAAUAGUUGCCCUGGGGAUCUCUUGAUCAAUGAGGAGUUGGAGAAGAAAGCAAUGGUUCAAGCAAAUGAAGCAAAGGCAGAAGGGAACAAGCUUUUUGUGGAUGGGAAGUAUGAGGAAGCAUUAUCCCAGUAUGAACUUGCUUUACAAGUUGCAUCUGACAUGUCUUCAUUGGUUGAAAUACGCUCAAUAUGCCAUGCAAACCGUGCUGUGUGCUUUCAGAAACUGGGAAAAUAUGACAACACAGUUAAAGAAUGCACAAAAGCACUAGAUCUGAAUCCAGUGUACAUUAAAGCUUUAGUAAGAAGAGGAGAAGCUCAUGAAAAGCUUGAACAUUUUGAAGAAGCCAUUGCUGAUAUGAAAAAGAUCUUAGAAAUUGAUCCCUCAAAUGAUCAAGCUAGGAAGGCCAUCAGGCGACUUGAGCCGCUUGCUGCAGAAAAGCGGGAAAUGAUGAAGGAAGAGAUGAUUGCAAAACUAAAAGAAAUGGGAAAUUCUUUCCUGGGCCGUUUUGGGAUGAGUGUUGAUAACUUCAAAGCAGUUAAAGAUCCAAACACUGGUUCCUAUUCUAUCUCAUUCCAGCAUUAAGUGUGGCAGAUCAAAGUCAUAAUAGCAUUAAGCAAGAAAGAUGCAGUCCAUAAUGAUGCAGUGGUGCUAAGCAUUUAAGCAAUGUCCGCGUUGGUCAAGUACUUCAUGUCCUAGCUAGAAGAUGAUGGAACUAAUUCAUUGGGACAUUUUUUUUUUCUUAGGCACCUUGGAAUUCUGGGUUAUUUAAGUAGUGAGGAAGUUGAACAUUGCUAAAUCAUGAGUAAGUGCAAACAUUUGUUCAUGAUGGCAAUAUCUAAGUGUUUUGGGUUUGUUCGCUGCUGCUCCGUCACAGGUUCGUUCAUUGUGUUGUGUUAGUCAUUACUGUUAGAUGUGAUUACUGAUUAACAAGUGGUUGUUUACUUGUUUUACAACAGCCCUUGAUUAAUGCAGAUAAUAUAAAUUGAGUCUUUGAAUUAUACGUAUAUAGUUUAUGCUGAUGUCAUAUCAUUUGAUAAUACCCGAGUUGCUGUCAUAUUGACUAAAUGAAAAAUGAAAAAUUUCAGGGAAGAAAACAGGAGAGAAAAAGAAAAUAUUUGAGUGGGUCUCUCCUUAUUGUUCUCGAUAUCCCAAAAUAAAUAAAAAAGAAAAAUAAAAUCAAAUAAAAUUAAGGUGUGAAUGUUAAUCUGAAAUAUGAUUCAUUAUUCGGAAAAAUGGAAUUAUUUUUUUCCAAGACAGUCAAUUCCCCCUAAAAAAGCCAAUUCCUCAAAACCCUCACAGGCCACAACCUUGAGAACCCUCAUUCUAUACAAGGGAGCCUACAAAUGGAGAGAUAAAUCAAGUUCUUGAUAUUUCUCUGCACAAUAGGUCCUUGUCUCAAGGUUUUGAGUGUCACUCUUCAGUAAUGAUAUUAGUUGAGAUGUGUCAACACUGUUGAAGCCACUGCUUCUAAGGCUUCUAUGCCAAUCACCGAAACUUCUCUCAUCAAUAUCCUCACUUAAUCGGUAAGGAAACACACCAUUAUCUCCAGCAAAUUCAUGUGCGUCAUCUGAUCUAAAUCCUUCUGAAAUAUGGCGGCUUGGGAAAUAUGCGAGAUUUGUUGCAUGGCCAGUGAUGAACGCUGAAGGGAAAACCUUAGGAGGGGUCGACAGCGAAGAAGCAAAUAGAAGAUACGAGUACUCAGCAGAAGCCCUCUCGGUGUUUCUUCUGGUUCUUCUCUCUUUUCUGUGAGCAUUUUGGUGCCCCCUAAAGCUUGAGAACUGUAGAAAGUUCUUGUG
Molecule: RNA transcript, 2232 nt
Organism: Arachis stenosperma
Lineage: Eukaryota; Viridiplantae; Streptophyta; Magnoliopsida; Fabales; Fabaceae
Exons: 6
Source: RefSeq, a predicted model, not a curated record